GCUUGGAUCGAUGAUGAGUCCCCAAAAAAAACAUUCCUUGGAAAAGCUGAACAAAAUGAGUGAAAACUCAUACCGUCAUUCUCAUCGGAACUGAGGUCCAGCACGUUGCCUUCCCCGGGGACUGUAGGAGUGAGGGACAACUUCCACUGAUUCCCAUAGGUUCCACCACCCAAGGCAUCCACAGCCAAAGUCUCCCAUCAAAUGCUCAUUAGGAACAUUCCCUUUUUGUGAGGUACACAGGUAGGAGAGUCCUGGGGGGAACGGCUGCUCUGUGAUGGCCUGGUGGCCAUGGAAGCAGACAGAAAUAUCGCAGGCCUAGGGUAGUGUGCGCCUGAUCUUGGCUUGGUGAGCUCCUAGGAAGGGAGACGCGGACCUCGUGGCAGGCGUCUCUGAGCAGAGGACUGAGUCCUUGUUUUCUUGCCGGGGAGAGCACAAGGCCCAGGCCUCAGGCAGAUGUUGGUCCUGAUUUUUGAUUAGCUGAGGACAAGGGAGUGCCAAGGGUGAUGGGGGACAGUGUAUAACAAAGGGUGUUGUGACAGAGAGCCAAAGCCUCUUUGGCCCUCCACCCAGCAUCCAGUCAUGGAGGCCCCCCAGCAGGGAUUUCUUCAUCCCCUGAGCCGUGAGAUGCCCCUGGUGCUAUGGUGGAAGCCUGGACUGGAAGGUACUCCACAGAAGAGGUGGUAGGGGGCUUAUGUGGACAUGUGUGUCAUCAGCAGUCUUGGGCUGUUGUUCAGCGUUGAUGGGCUUUCCAUUUAUUUCUCUAGUGGAUGACAAGUUGGCCAGCAGAGGUGUCAGAGGGCAGGUUCCAGGGAAUACAAGGGUCAGACUUGUGCUCCUGGCCCUUGGUCACUUCUCGUCUUCCUGACAGAGUAGUGGGCUCCACUGUUGGGCACAUCUUCCUGGAAGUCGUCUCUUGGCCCGCCAUUGCCGAGCGGCCACACCUGCUGCAGCUCGUGUGAGCAAAUAUGGCUCUGGAUCCUCUUUCCUGCUUUGAAAGCAGCUUCCAUCCUGAAGGCGUCCAGAGGGGGCAGUUAUCAUGGGACACCCGCCAUAUGCUGGCAAGGAAGAUGGUCAGUUCUUCUGAGCCACAAAGGCCCCCAACAUCCUGGAGUUGGUGUUGCCUAGCAUCCACGGUGCGCCCCCUGCUGGUGGAUGGCUCAGGAUGGGGCAGUUGCCGUGGGAGGCCCGCUGCCUGCUGGAAGGAAGAUGGUCAGUUCUUCUGAACCACAAAGGCCCUGCAGAGUCCUGGAGUCUGUGUGGCCUGGCUUCCAGGGUUCACCUCAUGCUGGUGGAUUGCUCAGGAUGGGUGCCGAAGGUCUUUAAGGUCGUCAGCUCACCUACUGCCCAGCCUGUGGUGUCAAAUGUCCUGCCUCUUCAAAUGUGUUUGGAUCGAUGAUGAGUCCCCCCAAAAAAACAUUCCUUGGAAAAGCUGAACAAAAUGAGUGAAAACUCAUACCGUCGUUCUCAGCGGAACUGAGGUCCAGCGCGUUGCCUCCAGCAGGGACUGUUGGAGUGAGGGAGAGCUUCCACUAGUCCCUAUAGGUUCCACCACCCAGGGCAUCCGCAGGGACAGUUGCCGUGGGAGGUCCGCUGCCUGCUGUCAAGGAAGAUGGUCGAUGCUUCUGAGAAACAGGCCCUGCGGGUUCCUGGAUUUGGUGUGGCCUGGCAUCCACGGUGCACCCCGUGCUGGCGGGUGGCCCAGGACGGGGCAGUUGCCUUGAGAGGCCCACCGCCUGCUGGCAUGACAGAUGGUCAGUUCUUCCGAGCAGUGGAAUCUCCAUGGAGUCGUGGAGUCGGUGUGGCCUCGCAUCCACAGUGCACCCUGUGCUGGUGGAUGGCUCAGGACACAGCAGUUGUCAUGAGAGGUCUGCCGCUUGCUGGCAAGGAAGAUGGUCAAUUCUUCUGACCAACAGAGGCUGCCUUGAGUCCUGAUUUGGUGUGGCCUGGCAUCUAUGGUGCACCCAAUGCUGGGGCAGUUGCCGUGGGAGGCCUGCCGUCUGCUGAAAGGAAGAUGGUUGAUGCUUCUGAGCAAUGAAGGCCCCAUGGAGUCCUGGAUUCGGUGUGGCCUUGCAUCCGUGGUGCACCCCGUGCUGGUGGAUGGCUCAGGACGGGGCAGUUGCCAUGGGAGGCGCAGGCCUGCUGGAAGGAAGAUGGUCGAUUCUCCCAAGCAACAAAGGCCACGUAGAGUCCUGGUUUCAGUGUGGCCUGGUAUCCACAGUGCACCCCGUGCUGGUGGGUGGCUCAGGACGCACACUCAUUUCCUCUGCACCUUCCUGGUGUCAUUGGCAUGGAAGGAAGGCCCUUGUCCAAGAAGGAUGGUCUUCGUCUUGUGUGAUCUUUGAGAUGCCAUGAGGCCCCUGGAUACAAAUGGUGUGGGCUCCUUUGGAGGCUUUUGGAUUUCUCCUGAAUGUGGCGUUGGUAUGGAAGGAAGGCCAGUGACCGCAAGGGAUGACUUUGAUCUUGGGAGAUUUUUGGAGAUGGCAAAGUGCUUCUAAACAUGUUUGGCAUGGUCUCCUUCAGGCUGGUGGAUACCUCAGGAUGGUGGCGUUGGCAUGGAAGGAAGGACUGUGUCUGUGAGGGAUGAUCAUCCUCUCAUGUGAUCCUUGGAGAUGCCAGGAAGCCCCUUGACACAUGUGGCAUGGGCUCCUUCAGAGGCUUUUGGAUCCGUCGUGAAUGUGGCAUGGGCAUGCAAAGAAAGACAGAGGCUGCAAGGGAUAAACUUCAUCUUGGGAGAUCCCUGGAGAUGGCAGGGAACCCAUGGACACAUGUGGCAUGGGCUCCUUUGGGUGCCGGUGGAUCCCUUCAUACGGUAAAGCCAGAGUUGGGUAUCAACCAGAUACACUGCAGGGGAUCAGAGGACAUGGCCUUUGUGUACUGCACAUCUGUCAGAUUUUCUCAAGCACACCCGUGUUUCCUCUUCACCUCCCACGUGGAAGUGAUGAAUUGGCCAGGACCAUGUUGGUGAGGGACAAUCAUCAUCUCAUGUUAACCUCAGAGAAGCCAGGAAGCUCCUGGACACACAUGGUGUAGGCUUCCUUGGAGGCUGUUGGAUCUCUCCUGAAUGUAGUGUUGGUGUAAAAGGCAAACCCGUGUCAUGAGGGAUGGUCAUCAUCUUGUGUGAUCCUUGGAGAUGGCAGGAAGCCCUGGACAUACAUGGUGUGGGGGCUCCUCCAGAGGCUGUUGGGAUCCUCCUGGAUGUGGUGUGGGCAUGGAAGGAAGGCCAGUGGAGACAAUGGAUGAUCUUGUUCUUAGCAGAUCACUGGAUGUGGCAGGGAGUCCUAGGACAUGUGUGGUGUGGGCUUCUUCAGGUGCUGGUGGUGUUGGCAUGAGGAAAGGAGGUAUCUUCGAGGGACAAUCUUCUUCUUGUGCGAUCCUUGGAGAUGCCAUGAGGCCCCUGGACACAUGUGGUGUGGGCUCCUUUGGAGGCUGUUGUAUCCCUUCUGAAUGUGGCGUGGGCAUAGAAGGAAGGCCAGUGGCCACGAGGGACAAUCUUGGUCUUGGGAGAUCCUGGAAAUGAUAGGGAGUCCCUUGAUAUGUGUGGCAUGGGCUCCUUCAGGUGCUAGUGGAUUCCUUAGGAUGGUGGUGUUGGCAUGAAAGGCAGGCUUGUAUCAUGAGGAAUGAUUGUCAUCUUGUCUGAUUCUUGGAGAUGGCAGGAAGCCCCUGGAAACACAUGGUGUGGACUCUUUCACAGGCUGUUGAAACCCUCCUGAAUGUGAGGCCAGAGACAGGCAGACAGCAGAUGUAUUGCAGGGAGCUGGAUGACAUGGCCCUUGGAACCUGUGCACAUGCCUGCCUUUCUGAUGCACGUCCAUGUUUUCUCUGCACCUCCCCGGUGGUGUUGGUAUAAAAAGCAGGCUUACAUCAGCAAGGGAUGAUUGUCGUCUCAUGCGAUCCUGGGAGAUGGCAGAAGUCCCGGGACACAUGGAGUGUGGGCUCUUUCGGAGGCUGUUGGAUCCCUCCUGAAUGUGUUGUGGCCAUGGAAGUAAGGCCAGUGGCUACGAGGGACAGUCUUCAUCUUGGGAGAUCCCUAGAGAGGGCAGGGAGCCCCUUGACAUGUGGAAUGUGAUCUCUGUUGGGUGCUGGUGGAUCCCACAGGUGGUCUGGCAUGGAAGAAGGCCAGAGGCUGCGAUGGAUCAUCUUUGUCUUGGGAGAUUCCUGGAGAUGGUGGGGAGCCCCUGGGCACGUGCAGCAUAUGUGGCGUGGGCUUCUUCAGGUGCUGGUGGAUCCCUCAGGAUGCUUUUCAAGGUUUUUCUAUGAGUUCUGUUAAAGAGUCUGAAAAUGGAGCGUAGAAGACAUGCUUCGAUUUCCAGGAUGGUUGUGUUUUCCAGAGAGGCGGAGGUAAACCACUGGCGCAGCCCUGCCUCCCACAGAUAAUUCCGGGUGCAGUGUUUCAUAUCUAGACUUGGACUUCUAUCCUACCAUACUUCUUUGUGUGCAGUUCAUUGUGGAACCAGCACAGAUUUUCAUACGAAAGUUAUUUCUUUUUAACCUCAAAAAGUGACAGAAUGGAGUGUAUCAUGAAAAAGUCUGACAUCAAAACCUCAAAAUGUGAUAUUGAUUGGGUGAGAUAGAAUUCCAUGGAAUUUCAUUGCCAAACCAGUGAAGUGCUAAUUUUGACAUUUGUACCAGCUAACGUAGCUGUGAAGAAACACACCAAUACACUUCUAAGGACAGCAUAGACCAAGAUCUAGGUUUCAUAUGGAUGAAUUUAUUCUUCCCUUUGAGGCAAGACAAGAAGGAAAGAAAGUAUUGGGAAUAAUGCUGCCCUCCCAUCCUCAAGGGCCAGUGGGAACUCUAAUAUUGAUUGGGUGAGAUACAAUUCCAUGGAAUUUUACCACUGAACCAGUGGAGGGCUAAUUUUGUCAUUUGUACCAGUUAACUAACUUGGGAGGAAACAGAACAACACACUCCUGAGGGUAAAAUGGAAACUCUGAGAGUUUGGUUGGCGGCAUCUAUAUACCAUAGAAACAGAGCCUGGGAAGCAGAACAGUGAGACCCAAGAGAAAUGUUCCUGCCUAUACUUGAUUGGUUUUCACAGAAUUCCAUGGACUUUAACUGCUGAACCAAUGAUGCACUGAUUUUGUCACUUGUACCAGCUAACGCAUCUGGGAGGCAACAAAACAAUACUCUCCUGAGGUUAAUGUGGACCAAAAACUAGAUUUCAUAUAAAAGAGUUUAUUCCUUCUACUUGAGGUGUGACAUGAAGGAAAGUAAUGGAAAUAAUUCUGCCCUCCCAUUCUCAAGGGCCAGGGGGAAUUCAAAUAUUGAACGGAAGUGAUUUUGGAAUUGCAUGGAAUUCUCACUGCCAUCCCAAAGAAAUGCUGAUCUUGUCACUCUUACCUGUUUCAUUCCCUGGGGGCAGAACAAAAGGACGCACUCCAAAGAUCGGCAUGAACCAAGAACUGGGUUUCAUAUAAAAUAUUUUAUUCUGUCCUCUUGAGAUGUGACAUGAGAAAAGUAUUGAGAAUACUUCUAUCACCUCAUCUUCAAGAAUCCGUAGGAAUUCUCCCAUGGUGGACUUUACGGUUAACCUGAACAGGUCUUGGAAAAAGGACUUUAAACAUUCUCCUGUUCUGUGGAAUAAGUAUACUUUUUUCUGGACAUACACCUUGUCAGUGAGUUCCAUGUGAUACUAGAGUUGCAUAGAUUUUUAACCUUUACGCCAAUGAAGAUCUGAGGCAAACAUUGCCCCUUUUUUAGAAGUUUGCAUUUGUCACUGAUAACUGUAAUAAUUGAUCUUGUUGAAAAGCCUGGGAAAUGAAGAUCUGAUAUGUCACUUUUACCGGCUUCCUCAACUGAAAAAGAAUACAAUGAAACACGCUGAGAAUUUUUGUGCUUUCUCAGUCUUGCUGAUGAUCUUUCUAUGGGCCUGAAGCGUGGAGAGUGCCAGAGAGGCUGAUCCUCAGCAGUGUGGCAGAGGAAAGUUGGGUGCGACUAAGGGGUAUGCGGUGCCCACAUGCCACUGGGUCCUCAGCAGUACCACCUGAUUGGAAGUGAUAUUGGUGGAAGACAACAUUUUGCCGCUUGGAAUUCUCACCUCCACACCAAAGAAGUACUGUUUUUGUCAUUUGCACCAGCUUCUUUCUCCAGGAAAGAUCAAAACGAUGCACUGCAAGUGUGAUUGGUCCAGAUAGCUGCCUUAUCCAACUGCCUCCUUUGGACCACUUCAUCAUGGGACAGCUUGAUGCAAUCUACUUGACAAGACCCUGGAACCCCACACCCCUCAUGGAACCAGUGUCCACCUCCCAGUCACAGUGUGACCCCAGGGAACUCUUGCCUGCUUGCUUUAAACCCACCACUUAAAAGUCUCCACAGAAAACCUGUUUGAAUAGUACCCUUGACCCAAUAAGGGCAUUGGCCCCUGGGUGUCUCUCUCUCUCUCUCUCUCUCUCUCUCCCUCUCUCUCCCUCUCUCUCUCUCGCUCCCUGACCUCUGCGUGUGGACUCCAGGCAUGCCAUAUACCCCUCAGGACCUGAAGCAAAAGAAUGAAUUAAAGAAAACUCCAGAGAAUGAGCUGACAACCUACUCCCUGGUCAGUGGCUCUCCAUGCCUACCUGUGGUCUCUUGGACACCCUUGCAGAUGACUUCCUGGGAACUCUUCUGGGAGUGAAUGUUAUCAGCAAAUUCCCAAAACAACACCCCUUAGACAAAAAGCCUCCUCACCUAUGCAUUGCCUAGACCACCCACUAAAGGUGAUGGCCACAAAGAGGUGGAUUUGUUGAGUUGGUGCCAUUCCUUCUACUGCCAGCUUCACCAAAACAAUGACACAGUCUUCCUUCCGCAUGGAGACUCUUCUCUUUCCUGUGUUGCAGUGGAUGCCUCCUGCAGAUAAGAAAUGCUUAACUGAGAAAUGCUCAUGUUGGGAUAUCAUCGAUGAGACUUUAAUUUGGGCAUGGUGACUGUUUCCCUUGCUGCCACUUGACUCAAUCCCAGGAGCCUCAGUAGAGGAUAUAAUAUUACACAAGAUGCUCAAAAUGGUGGAAUUGCUCAGUGCUCCCAUAAAUAUACAUUUAUAAUUUUCAUUUGCCACAUGGUAAACUGAAAAAUACAGACUAUAUUAAAAAGAAACUGCAUGAUUUUUUUUCAAAAAUUCAAAGCAUAUUUAAAUAAUAUAUAAAUUAAAUGCCCUCCUCUCUUCCAAUUCUGUCCCUAUAGUUUUCCUCUAUUAAGUGAACUACAUGCAUUCUUUUAGUGGAUAGAUGCACACAAACACACAAGCCAUUAUGGGGAAGGAUCCACGUGUGUGGCCAUAUUGUAACACAUUUUUCUGCAAAUCACCUCUUUCAUUUAACAGCCCUUAUUCAAUGGCCUUUUUCUUUUUCAGUAGUACAUACACAUCUGUGUCAUUUGUUGAAUGACGACAUGAAUGUUUUGUAGAUAAAAUAUAAUUAAAUGUUUUAAGCAUUUCUCACUCAUAGAUAUUUAUGUUAGCACCAAAUUUCUGUGCAAUGAACCUCCCUAUAUAUCAGUAAUUUUGCAUUUGUCUAUAAUAUCAUAAUAAAUU
This 7504-nucleotide long non-coding RNA is filed under the name Homo sapiens (human). RNAcentral describes it as "small nucleolar RNA host gene 14". The stretch from base 5 to 99 matches the Rfam family "Small nucleolar RNA SNORD116". Lineage: Eukaryota; Metazoa; Chordata; Mammalia; Primates; Hominidae. The record is from RNAcentral.